RNAcentral lists this ribosomal RNA (229 nucleotides) under uncultured bacterium. Its description in RNAcentral is "partial 16S ribosomal RNA". It matches the Rfam family "Bacterial small subunit ribosomal RNA", at positions 118 to 348 of the family's 1533-position model. The record is from RNAcentral.
UGGGUAACCUGCCUCAUACAGGGGGAUAACAGCUGGAGACGGCUGCUAAUACCGCAUAAGCGCACAGGACCGCAUGGUCUGGUGUGAAAAACUCCGGUGGUAUGAGAUGGACCCGCGUCUGAUUAGCUAGUUGGCAGGGUAACGGCCUACCAAGGCGACGAUCAGUAGCCGACCUGAGAGGGUGACCGGCCACAUUGGGACUGAGACACGGCCCAGACUCCUAGGGAGG